RNAcentral lists this ribosomal RNA (394 nucleotides) under uncultured bacterium. RNAcentral describes it as "bacterial SSU rRNA". It matches the Rfam family "Bacterial small subunit ribosomal RNA", at positions 775 to 1170 of the family's 1533-position model. The record is from RNAcentral.
GGAUUAGAAACCCUGGUAGUCCACGCCGUAAACGAUGAGUGUUAGGUGUCUGGAGUAAAUCUGGGUGCCGCAGCUAACGCAAUAAACACUCCGCCCGGGGAGUACGCACGCAAGUGUGAAACUCAAAGGAAUUGACGGGGACCCGCACAAGCAGCGGAGCAUGUGGUUUAAUUCGAAGCAACGCGAAGAACCUUACCAAGUCUUGACAUAUUACGGCGUGUUUUAGAGAUAAGACACUAUAUCUUCGGAUAACUGUAAUACAGGUGGUGCAUGGUUGUCGUCAGCUCGUGUCGUGAGAUGUUGGGUUAAGUCCCAUAACGAGCGCAACCCCUAUGGCUAGUUACCAUCAUUAAGUUGGGGACUCUAGCAAUACUGCCGGUGACAAACCGGAGGA